UCCACCUCCCAGAUUCAAGUGAUUCUCCUGC
RNAcentral lists this non-coding RNA (31 nucleotides) under Homo sapiens (human). Lineage: Eukaryota; Metazoa; Chordata; Mammalia; Primates; Hominidae. The record is from RNAcentral.